Molecule: ribosomal RNA, 821 nt
Filed under: uncultured fungus
Lineage: Eukaryota; Fungi
Description: eukaryotic LSU rRNA
Rfam family: Eukaryotic large subunit ribosomal RNA
Source: RNAcentral
GAACUUAAGCAUAUCAAUAAGCGGAGGAAAAGAAACUAACAAGGAUUCCCCUAGUAACUGCGAGUGAAGCGGGAAAAGCUCAAAUUUAAAAUCUGGUGGUCCCGAGUUGGCUGCCCGAGUUGUAAUCUAGAGAAGUGCUUUCCGCGCUGGACCGUGUACAAGUCUCUUGGAACGGAGCGUCGUAGAGGGUGACAAUCCCGUCUUUGACACGGACUGCCAGGGCUUAUGUGAUGCGCUCUCGAAGAGUCGAGUUGUUUGGGAAUGCAGCUCAAAAUGGGUGGUAAAUUCCAUCUAAAGCUAAAUAUGGGCGAGAGACCGAUAGCGAACAAGUACCGUGAGGGAAAGAUGAAAAGAACUUUGAAAAGAGAGUUAAACAGUACGUGAAAUUGUUGAAAGGGAAACGAUUCAAGUCAGUCGCGUUGGCCGGUAAUCAACCCUUGCGAAGGCGGGGGCUUACUUUCCGUCUGACGGGUCAGCAUCAAUUUUGACCGUCAGAUAAAGGUUUGGGGAACGUGGCAUCUUCGGAUGUGUUAUAGCCCCUUGUCAGAUGUGACGGUUGGGAUUGAGGAACUUGGCACGCCCGCAAAGGGUCGGGGCUUUUUGCCCACGUAACGUGCUUUGGAUGCUGGCAUAAUGGCUCGAACCGACCCGUCUUGAAACACGGACCAAGGAGUCUAACAUGCCUGCGAGUGUUUGGGUGGCAAACUCGAGCGCGAAGUGAAAGUGAAACUUGUCGAGAUCUCUGUCGUGGGGAGCACCGACGCCCGGACCUGACCUUUUGUGAAGGAUCCGCGGUUGAGCAUGCAUGUUGGGACCCGAAA